GGGGACCCGCAAGUAGCGGAGCAUGUGGUUUAAUUCGAAGCAACGCGAAGAACCUUACCUAAGCUUGACAUCCCAUUGACCUCUCCCUAAUCGGAGAUUUCCCUUCGGGGACAGUGGUGACAGGUGGUGCAUGGUUGUCGUCAGCUCGUGUCGUGAGAUGUUGGGUUAAGUCCCGCAACGAGCGCAACCCUUGCCUUUAGUUGCCAGCAUUAAGUUGGGCACUCUAGAGGGACUGCCGAGGAUAACUCGGAGGAAGGUGGGGAUGACGUCAAAUCAUCAUGCCCCUUAUGCUUAGGGCUACACACGUGCUACAAUGGGUGGUACAGAGGGUUGCCAAACCGUGAGGUGGAGCUAAUCCCUUAAAGCCAUUCUCAGUUCGGAUUGUAGGCUGAAACUCGCCUACAUGAAGCUGGAGUUACUAGUAAUCGCAGAUCAGAAUGCUGCGGUGAAUGCGUUCCCGGGGUCUUGUACACACC
Molecule: ribosomal RNA, 476 nt
Filed under: uncultured bacterium
Lineage: Bacteria
Description: bacterial SSU rRNA
Rfam family: Bacterial small subunit ribosomal RNA
Source: RNAcentral